RNAcentral lists this ribosomal RNA (501 nucleotides) under uncultured bacterium. RNAcentral describes it as "bacterial SSU rRNA". It matches the Rfam family "Bacterial small subunit ribosomal RNA", at positions 899 to 1397 of the family's 1533-position model. The record is from RNAcentral.
ACUCAAAUGAAUAGACGGGGACCCGCACAAGCAGCGGAGCAUGUGGUUUAAUUCGACGCAACGCGAAGAACCUUACCAGGGCUUGACAUCCCUCUGCCGUAGCUAGAGAUAGCUAUUUAUCUUCGGAUACAGAGGAGACAGGUGGUGCAUGGUUGUCGUCAGCUCGUGUCGUGAGAUGUUGGGUUAAGUCCCGCAACGAGCGCAACCCUUGCCUUUAGUUGAUAACAGGUAAAGCUGAUAACUCUAGAGGGACUGCCGGUGACAAACCGGAGGAAGGUGGGGAUGACGUCAAAUCAUCAUGCCCCUUAUGUCCUGGGCUACACACGUGCUACAAUGGCCGGUACAACGGGUAGCGAGGCUGCGAAGCCAAGCCAAUCCCAAGAAGCCGGUCCCAGUUCGGAUUGUAGGCUGCAACUCGCCUACAUGAAGUCGGAGUUGCUAGUAAUCGCAAAUCAGAAUGUUGCGGUGAAUGCGUUCCCGGGUCUUGCACACACCGCCCGU